UUAUUAUUGGAGCAUCCCCAUGUCAGUCUUGUGGCCACCCCCCUGUCCGUUCCUGAGAGUUCUGUGUCUGUUACCCCAUCCCUGCAUUCCCAUUUGUCACAGAACCCUGUACACACCCCUAUCGUGUUCCCUUUGGUUGCCGUGGGCCGCGUCAUCCUCCCAUUGCCUGUCCCCAUUGGGCGAGGGGGCUUCCGCCCCUGUCUCCCCGCCCCCUAUAAAACUCCAUGCACCCCUUUGUUCUGCCGCCAUCUUGUCCACGCAGGCACCGGCAACGGACGCUGCUCUCCACUGCAGCCACCACGCAGCAAUAAAAGUUCUCCAGCCAACCGCAGGGCAGGGUGUGCCUUCCUUCGCCUCUUUACCUCCUCCCAGUGUUGGUUGCAUAGCACGGCAGCCCACGCGGAGGCUCAGCGCUAGAGCCUCCAAACCAGCGGCAGCCCCGGACUCCCGUGUGAUACGCUGAGCCUAGCCGGGCUCCCUGAGCCACUCGGGACCGGGAAAAAAGAAUGCAAUGACGCACUUAAUAAUGGACUGAGGUUCAAUGUGGUUUUAAAGUGCUGAGAGUGCACAAGAGGCUGGAAGGCAAUACUGCUGACCCCAAGUGACCCAAGAGAUAUUCCUGACCAAAUGGUGUCAUGCUGGUAUCAUGUAUAUAAAGCUGAAGGGAAGAGGGAGAAA
Molecule: long non-coding RNA, 678 nt
Organism: Vidua macroura (Pin-tailed whydah)
Lineage: Eukaryota; Metazoa; Chordata; Aves; Passeriformes; Viduidae
Exons: 2
Source: RefSeq, a predicted model, not a curated record